This 73-nucleotide transfer RNA is filed under the name Pteropus alecto (black flying fox). It matches the Rfam family "tRNA". From Rfam's summary of the family: Transfer RNA (tRNA) molecules are approximately 80 nucleotides in length. Their secondary structure includes four short double-helical elements and three loops (D, anti-codon, and T loops). Lineage: Eukaryota; Metazoa; Chordata; Mammalia; Chiroptera; Pteropodidae. The record is from Rfam by way of RNAcentral.
GGUUCCAUAGUGUAGCGGUUAGCACGUCUGCUUUACACGUAGAAGGUCCUGGGUUCAUGCCCCAGUGGAGCCA